AAAUCUCUAAUAAGUACUCUGUACUCAUUAUAACACCCAUCUGUGUAUCUUACCCGUUGCUUCCGUGGAUGCCAUACAGGCCCAACGGCCCUGGCCGGCUCCACGGGAGGUAUUCACCAAACCACUGCAUUGCCAUGAUCUCAGUCUGAAGUGUAAACAACAAAAGUUA
This 169-nucleotide unclassified non-coding RNA is filed under the name uncultured fungus. RNAcentral's name for it is "sequence contains ITS1". The record is from RNAcentral. Lineage: Eukaryota; Fungi.